This 2648-nucleotide long non-coding RNA is filed under the name Triticum aestivum (bread wheat). RNAcentral describes it as "long non-coding RNA (TAES_LNC021137)". Lineage: Eukaryota; Viridiplantae; Streptophyta; Magnoliopsida; Poales; Poaceae. The record is from RNAcentral.
UCAGGGCACUUGGUUCUCUACAAACAUACAAUUUGAAUUAGACAUCACCGAUGCAUGUAAAACAUUAUUGGGAGAAGGCUAUUCCGUGCUUGCAACAAAUAAAGGUUAGUAGUUGUGUUGCUAGAACAACUCUCGCUGCUAGCAUGAAUAGUAGAAGAAUGGAAUGGUUAUAUGGCUCUAUGUAAAUCCACCUAUGGAAACAGGACAACAAAGCAAACCAUGGAGAGCUAAGAAUGACAUGUACAUCAAAUAACAUUUCUAAAUGGGUUAUUAUAGGGUUAAUUAGAUAAAUGCCACUUCAAUUAUGGCGAUUCUGAGAAAUGCCACCACAAUUUCCAAACUUUGAAAAAUCCACCUAUGGAAACAGCUCUGCCUUUCAUGGAAAUGGCAUUUUUCAAAGUUUGGAAAUUGCGGUGGCAUUUCUCAGAAUCGCCAUAAUUGGAGUGGCAUUUAUCAAAUUAACCCUUUAUAAAUUAGCUGUGGAACAUAGUACGUUUUGUCGGUUUGUUCUGUCAAACUACUCGAUAUGACAUUUCAGACAAUGCAUUUAAGAAAUUUUAAACAUGAGUAACAAAGACAACUACCAAAGAACAAUUAAUGCGUGCAAAAAGGAAGAUAAUAUCACAAGUGUUUAGAAAUCACCACCCCACAAAUUUCACAAGGCCAUUAAGAGGAAAGUUGAAAAAAAGGAAAAAGAUCAGUUUGAUUUACUACAUUUACUAAUAACUACAGAUAUUCUAUAACAUUUCAGGCUACAACUAUGAAUUUAGGCACUUAUUUUCUUCUAACACUGGAAAGCAAACUAUAACGUUCUCAAUUAUGCUUUCCAUCUAUAUUUCAUAGCAUUUACAAGCACAUAAUGAUAUGGAAUUCCCAUCAGCUCCAAAUUGCAAUAAGCUAAUAUUAGUUUUUAAUCUUGGUCUACCAUAUUUUUGUAUUCUCUCAAGUUAAAAAAACAUGGGUUGAUGCUCACAAGUUUUUGAAUUAAAAAAAAGCAUGUAAGAGAUCAGUUAGCCUCCUCCUCUGGUGAAUGCAGAAUAGGUCUUCCUUCUGAUCUCUAGUCAAAAGAACAAAAAUAAAUAUCUAGAGGAGGAUUUCAGAAAGUGGACUAACUCAAAAAAAAUAAGCAAACCAUUCAAUUAUUAACAUAGAUUUGUGUAACCAGCUUAUUGACAAGGCCAAUUACCAUGCAGACUGAAUAUCAGGACAUACAUGUACUGAUUCUUCAUUCUUGUAUACACAAAUAUGCAAAUAGUAAUUAGUACUGCUCAUGCACGACCAAACUAAAAAAGCAUACAAGAUUGUCUUCAUACUUGAAGACCACUUAGGUGAGCUCAUUUCAAUUCUGAUAGGGAGAGUAGAUAAGUUCCAAAAUAAUGGGAAGACAAUAUUACCCCUAUCGUAAAAUAUUGGAAUGAUCUAAAAUUAUGUGUGAGAUUCAUAGGAAAGCAUCAUUCAUGAAGUGCGAUAUUUCUCUUGAUUUUAUUCUUCUCAAGGGAUAGCUCAACAUAAGUGGAAAAGAAGCGACUAAUGCCAUUGAGUAUUUUAAUCAAACACAAUGCGCCCAACUAUAUACGCCAUUAAGUCUAAUAAAACUAAACAUGGUAAAACAUAUUCAUAUUGGUAUCAUCCCUAGUAGAAGCUCUAUAUAAUUUAAUGAGAAAUGAAAUUAGCAUGAAAAAUGAUCAUAUCCAAAUCAAUUCUCUUUAAUGAGAAAUGAAAACGACCCUGUGCAUGUCCCAAAAGAACAAUUGCGUAUGGCGACUUGCAAAAUAACAUGCGCCACAGAAUAAUUUACUUAAUAAUUAAGCAUACAAGUCGUCAUGGCAUCAAACAGAAGACAAGGAAGAUUAGUAGCUAAUCUGCUCAGUACAAUUACACUAACAAACAGGUAGCAACAUCGAGGUAUUUUAGCAUUAUUCCAUUGGUACCUGUACAAUACAGUGGUAAAUGUGUGGAGAGGUGUCAUUUUGGUUGGCACCUUGAAAAAGGCAUUGCUCUUGACCUGGGGCUGUAGGCGUGGCACUCAUGGACUAAAAGAAACAAGAAGCCCAUUUUGAAAACACAAUUAUUAAAAAGGCCAAUUGAUUGAUUCAUAGACGCAAAUGUCAGCCCUACCUUGUCAAACUGUAGGAGGAUGCUGAAGGCGAACUCAUCCAGUGUCUCCGUGAGGGACCUGCCAAAUCGAAAUUCUUGCUGUAUCUCUAACCACCAGAAUUCAACAGAAGUUGUGAUUCAGAUUCAUCAGCAUCAAACUGAAUGGUCGAUUAUUUGACAGAAGCUAUGUACAAUUAUUAUUGUACAGUAAACAAUCCCUGGUCCAAUACGAUCAUGCCAGAGUCAUAAAAUGACUGUAUUGACCAAAUAACAAUCGCGCGGUGCCUCUAAACGGAGGUGCUAAGCAGAUGUCGAACAUGAGAAGAUAUCAAGAAACAUGUGAGCCUCUAGACGGAAAUGCCAAGUAGCAUCCUUGGACAUCAUGUAUGCAUUUUCUAUGGAAGCUACUACCUAUGUAUCAAAAUAUAAGAUGUUUUUGUAGUUCAAUUUGAACUGCAAAAACAUCUUAUAUUUGGUAAGGAGGGAGUACUAAACUCAGUUGGCCAGUUAUAACAAAAGAUCAGAUAAGGAGGAUUGUUACCAGAUCAACA